RNAcentral lists this ribosomal RNA (387 nucleotides) under Triticum aestivum (bread wheat). RNAcentral describes it as "partial small subunit ribosomal RNA". The record is from RNAcentral. Lineage: Eukaryota; Viridiplantae; Streptophyta; Magnoliopsida; Poales; Poaceae.
AUGAGAGGGAGGGAGAGAAGGGAGGAGAUGAGGGAGAAAGAGAGAGGAAAGAGGAGAGGGACGUGCAGGGGCGGACGGGAGAGGGUCACCGGAAGGAGCGCCCCGGCUCGUCGUUCACACCGCCCUGGAGGAAGAGGAGAGGGAGGUGCAGCAGUGGAUGGGAGAGGGCCACUGGAAGGAGCGUGGCCGGCGUCGUUCGCACCACGCGUGAGCAGAGAUGCCUCUAUACAGCCCUCAUGCCCGCAGGUCGGCAGGGGGAAGGUCCAGGUUGAGACCUUCAAGAUGGAUUUGAUGUUGCUAUUAUUUCAGUUUGUGGAAAGGGGAUGUGAUUCCAGCAAGACAGAGACGACGGCAAUGACAAGUGAGAUUUCUGUUAAGGAGUAUUAG